GCCGGGUGUGGUGGUGUGCACCUGUAAUCCCAGUUACUCCAGAGGCUGAGGCAGAAGAAUCGCUUGAACCCAGGAGGUGGAGGUUGCAGUGAGCCGAAAUCAUGCCACUGCACUCCAGUCUGGGUGACAGAGUGAGACUCUGUCUCAU
Unclassified non-coding RNA from Macaca fascicularis (crab-eating macaque), 148 nucleotides. It matches the Rfam family "Metazoan signal recognition particle RNA". From Rfam's summary of the family: The signal recognition particle (SRP) is a universally conserved ribonucleoprotein. It is involved in the co-translational targeting of proteins to membranes. NCBI's taxonomy places the organism in Eukaryota, Metazoa, Chordata, Mammalia, Primates, Cercopithecidae. The record is from Ensembl.